Molecule: ribosomal RNA, 253 nt
Filed under: uncultured bacterium
Lineage: Bacteria
Description: partial 16S ribosomal RNA
Rfam family: Bacterial small subunit ribosomal RNA
Source: RNAcentral
UACGUAGGCAGCGAGCGUUGUUCGGAGUUACUGGGCGUAAAGGGUGCGUAGGCGGUUGUUUAAGUUUGGUGUGAAAUCUCCCGGCUCAACUGGGAGGGUGCGCCGAAUACUGAAUGACUAGAGUGCGGGAGAGGUGAGUGGAAUUCCUGGUGUAGCGGUGAAAUGCGUAGAUAUCAGGAGGAACACCGGUGGUGUAGACGGCUCACUGGACCGUAACUGACGCUGAGACACGAAAGCGUGGGUAGCAAACAGG